UAUUAGCUGACCACCGUAGGGGUUGAACCAAUUAGUCGACUAGUCGACUAGUCGACUCUAGGACGUCUCGCGAGUUUUUACAUUUCAUGUCGACUAGUCGCAGUCAUGUGAUUGCCGGUGGUGACAGCCUGUGCUGAUCUGACAGCACAGUAUACGUCACAAGA
Long non-coding RNA from Xiphophorus hellerii (green swordtail), 164 nucleotides. RefSeq lists it as uncharacterized. Lineage: Eukaryota; Metazoa; Chordata; Actinopteri; Cyprinodontiformes; Poeciliidae. The transcript is spliced from 3 exons. The record is from RefSeq and is a predicted model, not a curated record.